UACGUAGGGUGCGAGCGUUAAUCGGAAUUACUGGGCGUAAAGGGCGCGUAGGCGGCCUGUUAAGUCGAACGUGAAAUCCCCGGGCUCAACCCGGGAACUGCGUCCGAUACUGGCAGGCUUGAAUCCGGGAGAGGGAUGCGGAAUUCCAGGUGUAGCGGUGAAAUGCGUAGAUAUCUGGAGGAACACCGGUGGCGAAGGCGGCAUCCUGGACCGGCAUUGACGCUGAGGCGCGAAAGCCAGGGGAGCAAACGGG
Molecule: ribosomal RNA, 253 nt
Filed under: uncultured bacterium
Lineage: Bacteria
Description: partial 16S ribosomal RNA
Rfam family: Bacterial small subunit ribosomal RNA
Source: RNAcentral